Long non-coding RNA from Salvelinus namaycush (lake trout), 926 nucleotides. RefSeq lists it as uncharacterized. The transcript is spliced from 2 exons. The record is from RefSeq and is a predicted model, not a curated record. Lineage: Eukaryota; Metazoa; Chordata; Actinopteri; Salmoniformes; Salmonidae.
UAACACAUUAAAAAACAAAAUACUGCAUAGUUUCCUAAGAACGCGAAGCGAGGCGACCAUCUCUGUCGGUGCCAUAAGUAUUCUGGCCGUACUGUGCUGGUCCAGAUCUGUUUUGUCUUCAUCAGUUAGUGUAUUUCCAACCAUGCCAGCACAGAACGGUUCAGUUUGGAUUGUACAGUGGUGUGAAAAAGGUUAGGAUGGAGUCUGCCUUCAUUUCAGCAUGGUAUUGUGCUUUCCCCUCUCAAUACAUGGCUGUAUCUGUAGGGUUUGGGUGGCUGUAGCCGUCCCUCUCAUACCAUAUUCAAUAGGCUUGAAUGGCACAGCUGUUAUAAACCUGCAUUUUGAGUUUUUCCAACAGUUAUCGCUUAUGGAUUGGUUGAUAGGUUGGAUUGGGUGAAACUGACAUGAUUUCCACUGAUGUUUUCCAGGAGAGAUGUCAGCGAUUCGGGCCAAACAGCCAAUGACCAAGGGAAAGCUGGGACAAAGGAGAGGCUCACACAGUGCCAAAGGAACAAAAAGGUUUUGGUCGACAAUAGAGGUGGAUGCAGUUGAAGAUUCCUUGAUGAAUUUUAUCCGAAUGGGAAAAAGGCCUGGAAAACAAGACUGUGAGAAAUGCAUUGCUGCUUCUCCCCAAGCGCUAGUAAACAGGGACUGGAGAGCAGUAAAGUUCUAUGUACACAACAAAAUAGUUGCAGAUCAGAGAUAAUAAGUGUAUAAGAUGCUUCUAUCUUGGUGUACCUCUGAGGAUUUAAUGGGACUUACUUGACUUAAGCUCAUAGGCAGUUGAUGAAUGUCCUCCAUCUCACUCUGUUUGGGGGAAGUUUUCCCAGGUGGGUUGUUCACUUUUGGAGUGACUAAGGUCUCAAGAAUACAAAGCCUGCUGACUUUGAAUGUUACAGAAAAAUAAAAUACAUUUUUCUAAACUA